RNAcentral lists this long non-coding RNA (661 nucleotides) under Androctonus crassicauda. Lineage: Eukaryota; Metazoa; Arthropoda; Arachnida; Scorpiones; Buthidae. The record is from RNAcentral.
AUUUAUGGACUGAAAUACUUUCAAUAUACUAGAUUCAAUGAUAAUUACAAGGAAAGUAAUGGGCAGAAGUUGCUGAUAAAACAAUGAAGGACAUCUGCAGUUAAAUUUGCCAUUUCUUUAUAGAAAUUCAUGACUCAGAAGCCAUUUUAGAUGUUAAAUCAUGCUGUUGAAUCCAAGCAUUACGGAAACAAAACUUGAUUUGGAAUUCAGUGCUAAAGACACUUUCACUUUGCUGCACUUCAAUGAUCAAGUACUGAUUUUUGAUCUUAAAAUUAGGAAGCAAAACAUGAUUGAAGAAUCUGAGAUAUCUGAGCCUGAGGAGAGUAUCAUGAGAAUUUUAAAAUUGAUUGAGAGGAUUGAAUUCAUUGCAGAUGGCAUCAUCAUUAUUAAGAGCAUUGAUUUGAAUGAAUAGUGAGCAGCAACAAGUAGAUAAGGAAUAAAGAGAAUUGCAUUUUAUUAGGUGAUUUUUUUUCUCAAGCCAUUUUCAAAAACUUCUACAUUGUAAUUUUUAUUAUUGGAGAUUCCCUACCUGUAGCCAUGUAAUCUAGAUAAAGGCUUCAUUUUCCAUAAAUUAUUAUUUGUUAGAUUUUAUAAUUGUUGUAAUUUUUUUCUAAUUUUUAUUUUCCUGUUCUAACAGUAAUAUAUUAAAAAUAAAGUGAUU